AAGAUAAGUGCUAUUCUAAUAGCCAAUAGUGGUCAUAUUUUGCUUUCCUAAUUGUGCCUCAAAUGAGGCACAUUUUUUAUAUU
This is a non-coding RNA of Avibacterium paragallinarum, 83 nucleotides long. The record is from Rfam. Lineage: Bacteria; Pseudomonadati; Pseudomonadota; Gammaproteobacteria; Pasteurellales; Pasteurellaceae.